UACCCGCUGAACUUAAGCAUAUCAAUAAGCGGAGGAAAAGAAACCAACAGGGAUUGCCUCAGUAACGGCGAGUGAAGCGGCAACAGCUCAAAUUUGAAAUCUGGCCCCGUCGGGGUCCGAGUUGUAAUUUGUAGAGAGUGUUUCGGGUGAGACCAUGGUCUAAGUCUAUUGGAACAUGGCGUCAUAGAGGGUGAGAAUCCCGUAUGUGACCGUGGCUCGAGCCCAUGUGAAGCCUCUUCGACGAGUCGAGUUGUUUGGGAAUGCAGCUCAAAAUGGGUGGUAAAUUUCAUCUAAAGCUAAAUACUGGCUGGAGACCGAUAGCGCACAAGUAGAGUGAUCGAAAGAUGAAAAGCACUUUGGAAAGAGAGUCAAAAAGNACGUGAAAUUGUUGAAAGGGAAGCGCUUGCAACCAGACCUGUCCGUAGGUGAUCAGCCGCUGUUCUCAGCGGUGCACUCGCUCUGCGAUCAGGCCAGCAUCGGUUUCGGCGGUCGGAUAAAGGCCUUGGGAAUGUAGCUUCCUUCGGGGAGUCUUAUAGCCCUCGGUGCAAUGCGGCCAGCCGGGACCGAGGACCGCGCUUCGGCUAGGAUGCUGGCGUAAUGGUUGUAAGCGACCCGUCUUGAAACACGGACCAAGGAGUCUAACAUCUAUGCGAGUGUUUGGGUGUCAAACCCAUGCGCGGAAUGAAAGUGAACGGAGGUGAGAACCCUUUAGGGCGCAUCAUCGACCGAUCCAGAUGUCUUCGGAUGGAUUUGAGUAUGAGCAUAGCUGUUGGGACCCGAAAGAUGGUGAACUAUGCCUGAAUAGGGUGAAGCCAGAGGAAACUCUGGUGGAGGCUCGCAGCGGUUCUGACGUGCAARUCGAUCGUCAWAUYUG
Molecule: ribosomal RNA, 874 nt
Filed under: Usnea rubicunda
Lineage: Eukaryota; Fungi; Ascomycota; Lecanoromycetes; Lecanorales; Parmeliaceae
Description: eukaryotic LSU rRNA
Rfam family: Eukaryotic large subunit ribosomal RNA
Source: RNAcentral